RNAcentral lists this ribosomal RNA (468 nucleotides) under uncultured bacterium. RNAcentral describes it as "partial 16S ribosomal RNA". It matches the Rfam family "Bacterial small subunit ribosomal RNA", at positions 28 to 507 of the family's 1533-position model. The record is from RNAcentral.
GACGAACGCUGGCGGCGUGCUUAACACAUGCAAGUCGAACGGAAAGGCCCUGCUUUUGUGGGGUGCUCGAGUGGCGAACGGGUGAGUAACACGUGAGUAACCUGCCCUUGACUUUGGGAUAACUUCAGGAAACUGGGGCUAAUACCGGAUAGGAGCUCCUGCUGCAUGGUGGGGGUUGGAAAGUUUCGGCGGUUGGGGAUGGACUCGCGGCUUAUCAGCUUGUUGGUGGGGUAGUGGCUUACCAAGGCUUUGACGGGUAGCCGGCCUGAGAGGGUGACCGGCCACAUUGGGACUGAGAUACGGCCCAGACUGCUACGUGAGGCAGCAGUGGGGAAUAUUGCACAAUGGGCGGAAGUCUGAUGCAGCAACGCCGCGUGCGGGAUGACGGCCUUCGGGUGGUAAACCGCUUUCGCCUGUGACGAAGCGUGAGUGACGGUAAUGGGUAAAGAAGCACCGGCUAACUACGUG